RNAcentral lists this ribosomal RNA (245 nucleotides) under uncultured Prevotella sp. RNAcentral's name for it is "partial 16S ribosomal RNA". It matches the Rfam family "Bacterial small subunit ribosomal RNA", at positions 524 to 768 of the family's 1533-position model. The record is from RNAcentral. Lineage: Bacteria; Pseudomonadati; Bacteroidota; Bacteroidia; Bacteroidales; Prevotellaceae.
UACGGAAGGUCCGGGCGUUAUCCGGAUUUAUUGGGUUUAAAGGGAGCGCAGGCCGGAGAUUAAGCGUGACGUGAAAUGCCGCGGCUCAACCGUGGAAGUGCGUCGCGAACUGGUUUCCUUGAGUGGGUGCGACGUGUGCGGAAUUCGUGGUGUAGCGGUGAAAUGCUUAGAUAUCACGAAGAACCCCGAUUGCGAAGGCAGCGCACGAGUCCCUUACUGACGCUAAAGCUCGAAGGUGCGGGUAU